This 1645-nucleotide ribosomal RNA is filed under the name Triticum aestivum (bread wheat). RNAcentral describes it as "partial small subunit ribosomal RNA". The record is from RNAcentral. Lineage: Eukaryota; Viridiplantae; Streptophyta; Magnoliopsida; Poales; Poaceae.
GGGAAGAGCAAGAGGAGUGUCGCGGAGGAGGAGAGGUUAGGGAUUGGGAUUGGGAUUCCGCUGCCGCGGCAGCGGGCGCCGGAGAGGGGAAGUGGCUGCCGCGGUAGAGCAGGCUCAGGCUCGACCUCCUCGUUCACAUGCAGCCCCUGCGUCGUUCCGGUCGUGCGGUAGCCAGGGCGGAAGGGACCAAGGAGCGGCUCGCGGUGCUUCUCCUUCUCUCUUACCACUUCCUCUUCCCCUUACUCUUCCCUUUCCCACGACCAUUCCUCUUACCCUUCCGCUUCCCACGACCAUUCCUCUUACCCUUCCGCUUCCGUUUCCUUUUCUCGAACUUAAUGGAUUAAUCCGUUCUAAGCGGCGACGGAGACGGUCAAGGCUCCUUCUUCUCGUUUGGAUUCCACGUCUAAUCCUUCCUCUUUCUGAAAGGGUUACGGGGUUACCCUCUCAACUAAACAUCGAAUUUUUUUGUGGGAGGUGGAGGAGGCGCAGAGGGACUGGCGUGGCCACGGCCGCACGCACGGCGCCUUCGGCGACGGAGGCCGAGGCGUUGGCCGAGGCUCGACGGAGUACGUAGAUGAUAACAUACUAACGAAAUGAACUAUGUAGAAGAUGGGUAUGUAACAACCGCAGUUCGAACGUUAGUUUGUACGUUACUGAUCACUAUCACUGGUGAUGUUCCUUUACCCACUUCGUUACAACCUCUUCAAACUGUUUAUAACCCUUCUUUUCUUGUUACGGUACCACUAGCGUUGGUAGAAACUAGGUGCCAUGUUCUACCCAAUGUAUCUCACCCGGAAACCUCUUGAUAUACCUCUUCCUUCAUGCUCCAAAUCCUGACUCUAGUUUUAGCACCUCUUUCUCAACCGCCGGAACAUACUGUUUACACAACGAGUUCUAUUCGCUCGACCUUUACCUCUUUCAAGUAGAAGGAGACGUUUGUAAGGAUCAUAGGGCCAAGUUCUACCCAUGCUCAGGAAGAAUAGCAGGGCAAGUUGUUCUUAUAGUUUCCCACUCAACUCCUUGAUGAAUCUCCUACUCCAACGGGGAGCGUUGUUCCGAGAACUAGAAGAACCAACCACCUUUCUGUUACGAGGAUCCAUGGGUUAAUACCGGUUCUAUCGGUCCUCCAAGGAAUGAUAGGGCCGAUGGAGGCACAGAAGCCUUAGAUGGAAGUCGUGCUGGCCUUCCUAAAAUCUACUGAUAUCCUCAAGCAAUUUUGGCCAAUACCACCUCCGUAAUCAAACACCACGUUCAAUAUAGUUCCCACGAGUGCAACUGAACUUAGACCACGGCUCCCUACUCUUACUUCUCCUUCUACAACUCUUGUAGUUCAAUGGGUAACACCACCUCCUCUAGUUGCUAACUGCAAAUAGUACACCUACAACUAGCGAUAAAACCUCUACUUACAGUUUCACUAGAAAGAGUACACUUCCGAUGAAAACGUAAAGACAAAACAACCUUGGAAAGUUCAGUACUUGAUACUUAACAGUGACGAUCGAACCUCUACUUGGAGAGUAAACACAAUACAAGUUGAACAGUUAACUGUACCUGAACCUUAACAGUAACGUUCAAACAUUAGCACAGCAAGAUACUACUAUUCUGGAAUACGAACACCUACACUAUAAACACGAAUUGGACUAAACAC